GGUUAAGCGACUAAGCGUACACGGUGGAUGCCCUGGCAGUCAGAGGCGAUGAAGGACGUGCUAAUCUGCGAUAAGCGUCGGUAAGGUGAUAUGAACCGUUAUAACCGGCGAUUUCCGAAUGGGGAAACCCAGUGUGAUUCGUCACACUAUCAUUAACUGAAUCCAUAGGUUAAUGAGGCGAACCGGGGGAACUGAAACAUCUAAGUACCCCGAGGAAAAGAAAUCAACCGAGAUUCCCCCAGUAGCGGCGAGCGAACGGGGAGCAGCCCAGAGCCUGAAUCAGUGUGUGUGUUAGUGGAAGCGUCUGGAAAGGCGUGCGAUACAGGGUGACAGCCCCGUACACAAAAAUGCACAUGCUGUGAGCUCGAUGAGUAGGGCGGGACACGUGGUAUCCUGUCUGAAUAUGGGGGGACCAUCCUCCAAGGCUAAAUACUCCUGACUGACCGAUAGUGAACCAGUACCGUGAGGGAAAGGCGAAAAGAACCCCGGCGAGGGGAGUGAAAAAGAACCUGAAACCGUGUACGUACAAGCAGUGGGAGCACAGAGCAAUCUGUGUGACUGCGUACCUUUUGUAUAAUGGGUCAGCGACUUAUAUUCUGUAGCAAGGUUAACCGAAUAGGGGAGCCGAAGGGAAACCGAGUCUUAACUGGGCGUUAAGUUGCAGGGUAUAGACCCGAAACCCGGUGAUCUAGCCAUGGGCAGGUUGAAGGUUGGGUAACACUAACUGGAGGACCGAACCGACUAAUGUUGAAAAAUUAGCGGAUGACUUGUGGCUGGGGGUGAAAGGCCAAUCAAACCGGGAGAUAGCUGGUUCUCCCCGAAAGCUAUUUAGGUAGCGCCUCGUGAAUUCAUCUCCGGGGGUAGAGCACUGUUUCGGCAAGGGGGUCAUCCCGACUUACCAACCCGAUGCAAACUGCGAAUACCGGAGAAUGUUAUCACGGGAGACACACGGCGGGUGCUAACGUCCGUCGUGAAGAGGGAAACAACCCAGACCGCCAGCUAAGGUCCCAAAGUCAUGGUUAAGUGGGAAACGAUGUGGGAAGGCCCAGACAGCCAGGAUGUUGGCUUAGAAGCAGCCAUCAUUUAAAGAAAGCGUAAUAGCUCACUGGUCGAGUCGGCCUGCGCGGAAGAUGUAACGGGGCUAAACCAUGCACCGAAGCUGCGGCAGCGACGCU
Molecule: ribosomal RNA, 1175 nt
Filed under: Escherichia coli
Lineage: Bacteria; Pseudomonadati; Pseudomonadota; Gammaproteobacteria; Enterobacterales; Enterobacteriaceae
Description: partial 23S ribosomal RNA
Rfam family: Bacterial large subunit ribosomal RNA
Source: RNAcentral